UAUAUACAUCUAUAUAAAUGUAGAAUCUGAUCGGUGUGAUUCAACAUAAAAUUCAUUUAUUUAUUUGGCAUACUGAGUACUUUGUCCAACAUAAUGUGUACUGUUGUCAUUUUUGUACUGUACUUCAUCUCUCUUUCCUAUGCAGACGAGGGCCAAUGUAUUAACAAUUUAACUGGAAAGAUUGAGUGCUGUGCAGAUUAUUAUAUAACAGAGUCAGACUCAUGCAAACCUUGCGUUGGAUACUUUGGAAAAAACUGUUCUACACCUUGUUAUUUUGGAUAUUAUGGUCAUGGCUGCCGCAAUACGUGUAAUUGCAGUAGUGAUACACAUUUGUGUGACUCCAGGUCAGGGUGUAUUAAAAGAUAUUUUAACCAAACAUGUAAGUAACUAUAUGGUCAAAU
This is a long non-coding RNA of Saccostrea cuccullata (small rock oyster), 401 nucleotides long. RefSeq lists it as uncharacterized. The record is from RefSeq and is a predicted model, not a curated record. Lineage: Eukaryota; Metazoa; Mollusca; Bivalvia; Ostreida; Ostreidae. The transcript has 3 exons.